Long non-coding RNA from Vicia villosa (hairy vetch), 1065 nucleotides. RefSeq lists it as uncharacterized. The transcript is spliced from 4 exons. Lineage: Eukaryota; Viridiplantae; Streptophyta; Magnoliopsida; Fabales; Fabaceae. The record is from RefSeq and is a predicted model, not a curated record.
AAAUUUCAACUGUGAAGCGGUUUGCGAGAUCUUUGGCGGAGAAGUGUGUUGGUAGCGGAAUAAAAUGAACGUAUUUCGUCAGGCGAUCACAAAUCACCCAAAUCGUAGUAUGACCGCAAGAACUAGGUACACCCCUGGCCAACAAAAAGAAGCUCUCAACCUAGCCAAUGUUGCCUUCACCCCUGAGUGUCCUGCUGUAGGUGUAUGGUGGUACUCACGCACUAUCUUUUGGCGCAAAUCAGCUAGUGCAGGUAUGGAGUAAAUCAGGCAGCGGUGAUGAUAAGAUGAGAAGUGUAGGAUUGUCUGGCUCAAACUUUCGACUUAAUGCAUCUGCAACCAGAUUCGACCUUCCAGAUUCUGUGAUGGCGAACAUUUCCCGAACAUAGACAGAGGCAGCUUGCAUGCGUGGACAAAGUUUCUUACUGAAGAAAGCAAUUGGAUGGCCUGCUUGGGAUAAAACAGCACCAAUGGCGACCCCGGAAGCAUCUGUCUCUAUUGUAAAUUCUUUUGUAAAAUUUGGUAGUGCUAAGACCGGCAUGUCGGUCAUUUUCUGUUUCAGCUCUGUAAAGGCCUGAGCAGCCUCUGUACUCCAAGUGAAUUUAGUGGAACGUAACAAGUCGGUGAGUGGAGCGGCGAGAGAGGCGUAACUUUUUACAAAACGGCGAUAAAACCCGGUGAGACCUAAAAAGCCGCGGAGUGUCGAGAGUGAACGUGGUGCUGGCCAAUCGAUAAUGGCUUUAAUUUUCUCUGAAUCCGGUGCAACACCUCCGGCUGAAAUGAUAUGUCCUAGGUACUCAAUUUGAACUGCGGCAAAAACACACUUAGAUAACUUCACAUAAAAUGCUUGCUUAGAUAACAACUCAAAAACAACCUGCAAAUGUGUUAAAUGCUCUUCAAAAUUAGCACUGUAGAUUAAAAUAUCAUCAAAAAAAACAAGAACAAAUUUUCUUAAGUAAGGGCGAAGUAGGUCAUUCAUAGCUGAUUGGAAUGUAGAUGGCCCAUUAGUUAAACCAAAGGGCAUUACAAGGAAUUCGUAAUGCCCAUCAAAAGUCCGAAAAGCUGUUU